Molecule: ribosomal RNA, 406 nt
Filed under: uncultured bacterium
Lineage: Bacteria
Description: partial 16S ribosomal RNA
Rfam family: Bacterial small subunit ribosomal RNA
Source: RNAcentral
AGUGAACGCUGGCGGUCGGCCUAACACAUGCAAGUCGAACGAGUGGCGGACUGGUGAGCAAGACAUCGGCAUCUACUCUGACGUCGGGGCUAACGUAGGGAAACUUACGAUAAUACCGCAUACGAUUGAAUGAGCCGAUGUCGGAUUAGCUAGUUGGCGGGGUAAAGGCCCACCAAGGCGACGAUCCGUAGCUGGUCUGAGAGGCUGAUCAGUCACACUGGGACUGAGACACGGUCCCGACUCCUACGGGAGGCAGCAGGGGGGAAGAUUGGACAAUGGGCGCAAGCCUGAUCCAGCCAUCCCGGGUGGGUGAAGAAGGCCUUCGGGUUGUAAAGCCCUUUUGUUGGGAAAGCGGUACCCAAAGAAUAAGCACCGGCUAACUUCGUGCCAGCAGCCGCGGUAAUAC